RNAcentral lists this ribosomal RNA (253 nucleotides) under uncultured bacterium. RNAcentral describes it as "partial 16S ribosomal RNA". It matches the Rfam family "Bacterial small subunit ribosomal RNA", at positions 524 to 776 of the family's 1533-position model. The record is from RNAcentral.
UACGUAGGGGGCGAGCGUUGUCCGGAAUCAUUGGGCGGAAAGCGCGUGUAGGCGGUUCGGUAAGUCUGCUGUGAAAGUCCAGGGCUCAACCCUGGGAUGCCGGUGGAUACUGCCGAACUAGAGUGCGGAAGAGGCGAGUGGAAUUCCCGGUGUAGCGGUGAAAUGCGCAGAUAUCGGGAGGAACACCAAUUGCGAAGGCAGCUCGCUGGGACGUUACUGACGCUGAGACGCGAAAGCGUGGGGAGCAAACAGG